UACGUAGGUGGCAAGCGUUGUCCGGAUUUACUGGGCGUAAAGGGCGUGCAGGCGGUUUGUUAAGUGCAGGGUGAAAGCUCCCGGCUCAACUGGGAGAGGUCCUUGCAUACUGGCAAACUCGAGGGAGGCAGAGGAAAGUGGAAUUCCCGGUGUAGUGGUGAUAUGCGUAGAUAUCGGGAGGAACACCUGUGGCGAAGGCGGCAUCCUGGACCGACAUUGACGCUGAGGAGCGAAAGCUAGGGGAGCAAACGGG
This 253-nucleotide ribosomal RNA is filed under the name uncultured bacterium. RNAcentral's name for it is "partial 16S ribosomal RNA". It matches the Rfam family "Bacterial small subunit ribosomal RNA", at positions 524 to 776 of the family's 1533-position model. The record is from RNAcentral.